GGGCCGGUAGCUCAGCAUGGUUAGAGCGUUGAGCUGAUAACUCAAAGGUCGCCGGUUCAAAUCCGGUCCGGCCCA
This 75-nucleotide transfer RNA is filed under the name Nitrososphaerales archaeon. Its description in RNAcentral is "tRNA-Ile". It matches the Rfam family "tRNA". From Rfam's summary of the family: Transfer RNA (tRNA) molecules are approximately 80 nucleotides in length. Their secondary structure includes four short double-helical elements and three loops (D, anti-codon, and T loops). Lineage: Archaea; Thermoproteati; Nitrososphaerota; Nitrososphaeria; Nitrososphaerales. The record is from RNAcentral.